RNAcentral lists this ribosomal RNA (253 nucleotides) under uncultured bacterium. Its description in RNAcentral is "partial 16S ribosomal RNA". It matches the Rfam family "Bacterial small subunit ribosomal RNA", at positions 524 to 776 of the family's 1533-position model. The record is from RNAcentral.
GACGUAGGGCGCAAGCGUUGUCCGGAUUUAUUGGGCGUAAAGAGCUCGUAGGCGGCUCGUUGCGUCGGCUGUGAAAACCCACGGCUUAACCCCGAGCCUGCAGUGGAUACGGGCAGACUAGAGGUAGGUAGGGGAGAAUGGAAUUCCAGGUGUAGCGGUGAAAUGCGUAGAUAUCUGGAGGAACACCGGUGGCGAAGGCGGCAUCCUGGACCAACACUGACACUGAGGAGCGAAAGCCAGGGGAGCAAACGGG